This 114-nucleotide ribosomal RNA is filed under the name uncultured bacterium. RNAcentral's name for it is "partial 16S ribosomal RNA". It matches the Rfam family "Bacterial small subunit ribosomal RNA", at positions 1388 to 1501 of the family's 1533-position model. The record is from RNAcentral.
CACCGCCCGUCACAUCACGAAAGCCAGUUGUACUAGAAGCCGGCAAUUCAACCGCAAGGAGAUAGCCGUCCAAGGUAUGACUGGUGAUUGGGGUGAAGUCGUAACAAGGUACCC